CACUGUUGCCUAAACCACAGAGCCUAGGGCUUGCCAAUCAGAAGGUCGGCGGUUCUAAUCCCUGUGCCGUCACCCAGGAAGGAAAGAGCCUCAAAAUCACGAAAAGGAAAGACCCGAUAAGUGGAACGGGCUCAACAAUUCGUGGGAAAUGAACAAAGCAAGGCGGCAGAGGACGCACCUGAAGGAGCGUCUCCACCCCCAUCGUUCAGCCCAGACACUGAGGUCCAGCUCUGAGGGCCUUCUGGCCGUUCCCUCCCUGCGAGAAGCGAGGUUGCAGGGAAGCAGGCAGAGGGCCUUCUCUGUGGUGGCGCCUGCCCUGUGGAACGCCCUCCCAUCAGAUGUCAAGGAGAUAAAGAACUAUCUGACUUUAAGAAGACAUCUGAAGGCAGCCCUGUUCAGGGAAGUUUUUUUGAUGUGUGCUCUUUUAUCGUGUUUUUAAUAUUCUGUUGGGAGCCACCCAGAUUGAAUGGCGAAACCCAGCCAGAUGAAUGGGGUAUAAAUAAAUUAUUAUUAUUAUUA
Podarcis raffonei (Aeolian wall lizard) is the source of this 519-nucleotide long non-coding RNA. RefSeq lists it as uncharacterized. NCBI's taxonomy places the organism in Eukaryota, Metazoa, Chordata, Lepidosauria, Squamata, Lacertidae. The transcript has 2 exons. The record is from RefSeq and is a predicted model, not a curated record.